Molecule: signal recognition particle RNA, 266 nt
Filed under: Syntrophomonadaceae bacterium
Lineage: Bacteria; Bacillati; Bacillota; Clostridia; Eubacteriales; Syntrophomonadaceae
Description: signal recognition particle sRNA large type
Rfam family: Bacterial large signal recognition particle RNA
About the family: The signal recognition particle (SRP) is a universally conserved ribonucleoprotein involved in the co-translational targeting of proteins to membranes. Archaeal SRP consists of a 7S RNA and homologues of the eukaryotic SRP19 and SRP54 proteins. In most bacteria, the SRP consists of a 4.5S RNA and the Ffh protein (a homologue of the eukaryotic SRP54 protein).
Source: RNAcentral
CCGUGCUAGACGGGGAAUUAGCGGUGCCCUGUAACCUGCAACCCGCUAUAGCAGGGUUGAAUUCCUGUCCUGAGGGUAUAUUUUGUGAGGUCUGGCUUGAAUAAGUGGCGUCGAAGUCUGGGUCCUACGCAAUGAGACAUCUUGAACCGUGUCAGGUCCGGAAGGAAGCAGCACUAAGAGAUCCAUCUCAUGUGCCGUGGGGUAGCCUGGAUGGAGCAAACUGUUCAAGUAACGCUCGGAGGAUAUAUUCGAAGGCAGGUGCACGG